AUAUAGUUUUGGUCCUAAACUUGCCGUUGUUUUUUAUCAAAAUUACACAUGCAAGCCUCCACACACCAGUGAGAAUGCCCACAUAUCCCUUAACAGACGAACGGAGUAGGUAUCAGGAACGCCCAACCCGCAGCCCACAACACCUUGCCACGCCACACCCACACGGGCCUACAGCAGUGAUUAACAUUAAGGUAUAAGCGAAAGCUUGACUUAGCUAUGAUUACCAAGGGUCGGUUAAUUUCGUGCCAGCCACCGCGGUUAUACGAAAGACCCAAAACAACAGCUCUCGGCGUAAAGCGUGACUAGAGAAAGUUAAAUUUUAAUGAAAAACCACAGCUCAGUCGUAAAACACCCCCGCAUAUUGGAAGCCCACCAACAAAGUGCCGUUAAUCAAAAAACUACUUGACCUCACGAAAGCUAAGAAACAAACUGGGAUUAGAUACCCCACUAUGCCUAGCUAUAAACCAAGGUAGCACAAACACACCCUACCCGCCAGAGAACUACAAGUGAAAAACUUAAAACUCCAAGGACUUGGCGGUGCCCCACAUCAACCUAGAGGAGCCUGUCCUAUAAUCGAUAAUCCACGCUCUACCCAACCAUCUUUCGCCCUCAGCCUAUAUACCGCCGUCGCCAGCCUACCCUCUGAAAGAAGCAUAGUAGGCAAAAUAGUUAUUAACUAACACGUCAGGUCAAGGUGUAGCACAUGAGAUGGAAGAGAUGGGCUACAUUUUCUACCAUAGAAAACACAAACAGCUCAAUGAAACUUGGGCCAAAAGGCGGAUUUAGAAGUAAGACCAACUAGUAUUUUUGUCUUAAACCUGCUCUGGGGCGCGCACACACCGC
RNAcentral lists this non-coding RNA (843 nucleotides) under Plestiodon lynxe. RNAcentral's name for it is "partial 12S ribosomal RNA". It matches the Rfam family "Bacterial small subunit ribosomal RNA". Lineage: Eukaryota; Metazoa; Chordata; Lepidosauria; Squamata; Scincidae. The record is from RNAcentral.